RNAcentral lists this ribosomal RNA (348 nucleotides) under Carpophilus tempestivus. RNAcentral describes it as "SSU rRNA". It matches the Rfam family "Eukaryotic small subunit ribosomal RNA", at positions 615 to 929 of the family's 1831-position model. The record is from RNAcentral. Lineage: Eukaryota; Metazoa; Arthropoda; Insecta; Coleoptera; Nitidulidae.
GCGGUUAAAAAGCUCGUAGUCGAAUCUGUGUCCCGCGCCGCCGGUUCAUCGUCCGCGGUGUUAACUGGCGUGUCGCGGGACGUCCUGCCGGUGGGCUUAGCUCUUGGCGGCCCAACUCAAUCCCGCCGCGGUGCUCUUCAUUGAGUGUCGAGGUGGGCCGGCACGUUUACUUUGAACAAAUUAGAGUGCUUAAAGCAGGCUAAAACUUCGCCUGAAUACUGUGUGCAUGGAAUAAUGGAAUAGGACCUCGGUUCUAUUUUGUUGGUUUUCGGAACCCCGAGGUAAUGAUUAAUAGGAACGGAUGGGGGCAUUCGUAUUGCGACGUUAGAGGUGAAAUUGUUGGACGUC